Molecule: non-coding RNA, 210 nt
Organism: Vicia faba (fava bean)
Lineage: Eukaryota; Viridiplantae; Streptophyta; Magnoliopsida; Fabales; Fabaceae
Source: the annotation of a GenBank genome assembly
AUGAUUAAACUAGGAGUGCUUGUUUGUUCGAGUUUGCCUUUAUAUUUGAUUUGCUUUGUGGAGUCCAUAGUUCAGUUUUUUGAUGCUUCUCAAUCACACAUCACUUCAGCAUCCAAAGAAAAUAUGCUAAACAUGAAGAAAGAGGAUGCAUCAACCAUGGCUAAUGCUGCAGCCCAAAAUCACUUUCGAAAAAUCCAAUACACAUGCUAA